Molecule: long non-coding RNA, 504 nt
Organism: Mesocricetus auratus (golden hamster)
Lineage: Eukaryota; Metazoa; Chordata; Mammalia; Rodentia; Cricetidae
Exons: 2
Source: RefSeq, a predicted model, not a curated record
AUGCCUGUGCACAUGUCUGCGAGUGCGUGUGGAGGCCGGCCAGGGGAACACAUCAGAUGUCCUCAAUUCUCUCUUACUUUUGAGGCAGGGUCAAGAUCACUGAAUCUGGAGCUCAUGGUGAGCGACAGGGACCCCUGUCUCCCUGGUGCUGUCAUGAGAGAAGCACACCACCAUGCCAAGGAUUUUACGAUCAAAUUCUAUCUGGAUUCAAGGAUGUCAACAUCACCACUCAAAGAAGGGAUAAUUAAGAAAUAUUCCAAAAGUCACUAGAGACCUUUCUAAUAAAUUGCCAAAUGAAUUUUCCACACUGUUGAAGUCUGAAAAAGCUAAGAAAAAUACAUUUGUAAAACUAUACAUGAACAAAACCCAAACGCUUUGACAUGUACUCCCUUAAUCUAAUCAUUUGUGGAAAGAUUUACAUAAUUCUAAUUGUAAAAAAUGUUAUUUCGGGGGAUAAAAUUAGAGAUGAACCACAAAAUAAAUAUGAACUAAAGGGAACAUUAA